Molecule: ribosomal RNA, 920 nt
Filed under: uncultured bacterium
Lineage: Bacteria
Description: bacterial SSU rRNA
Rfam family: Bacterial small subunit ribosomal RNA
Source: RNAcentral
ACGCUGGCGGCAUGCUUUACACAUGCAAGUCGGACGGCAGCACAGAGAAGCUUGCUUCUUGGGUGGCGAGUGGCGAACGGGUGAGUAACAUAUCGGAACGUACCGAGUAAUGGGGGAUAACUAAUCGAAAGAUUAGCUAAUACCGCAUAUUCUCUGAGGAGGAAAGCAGGGGACCUUCGGGCCUUGCGUUAUUCGAGCGGCCGAUAUCUGAUUAGCUAGUUGGUGGGGUAAAGGCCUACCAAGGCGACGAUCAGUAGCGGGUCUGAGAGGAUGAUCCGCCACACUGGGACUGAGACACGGCCCAGACUCCUACGGGAGGCAGCAGUGGGGAAUUUUGGACAAUGGGCGCAAGCCUGAUCCAGCCAUGCCGCGUGUCUGAAGAAGGCCUUCGGGUUGUAAAGGACUUUUGUCAGGGAAGAAAAGGCUGUUGCUAAUACCGACAGUUGAUGACGGUACCUGAAGAAUAAGCACCGGCUAACUACGUGCCAGCAGCCGCGGUAAUACGUAGGGUGCGAGCGUUAAUCGGAAUUACUGGGCGUAAAGCGAGCGCAGACGGUUACUUAAGCAGGAUGUGAAAUCCCCGGGCUCAACCUGGGAACUGCGUUCUGAACUGGGUGACUAGAGUGUGUCAGAGGGAGGUAGAAUUCCACGUGUAGCAGUGAAAUGCGUAGAGAUGUGGAGGAAUACCGAUGGCGAAGGCAGCCUCCUGGGAUAACACUGACGUUCAUGCUCGAAAGCGUGGGUAGCAAACAGGAUUAGAUACCCUGGUAGUCCACGCCCUAAACGAUGUCAAUUAGCUGUUGGGCAACUUGAUUGCUUAGUAGCGUAGCUAACGCGUGAAAUUGACCGCCUGGGGAGUACGGUCGCAAGAUUAAAACUCAAAGGAAUUGACGGGGACCCGCACAAGCGGUGGAUGAUGU